Non-coding RNA from Podarcis lilfordi (Lilford's wall lizard), 233 nucleotides. Lineage: Eukaryota; Metazoa; Chordata; Lepidosauria; Squamata; Lacertidae. The record is from the annotation of a GenBank genome assembly.
UUCCUAAUGUUGAGUCGGAAUCUCCUUUCUUGUAACUUGAAGCCAUUGGUUCGAGUCCUACUCUCCAGAGCAGGAGAAAACAAGCUUGCUCCAUCUUCCAUGUGACAGCCCUCAAGAUAUUUGAAGAUGGCUAUCACAUCUCAACUCUUCUCCAUCUCUUCUUUUCCAACCUAAACAUACCCAGCUCACUCAACUGUUCCUUGACAGAGGACAGUCUGUUGCAAUGUAAAUAA